GAUGAAGAACGUAGCGAAAUGCGAUAAGUAAUGUGAAUUGCAGAAUUCAGUGAAUCAUCGAAUCUUUGAACGCACAUUGCGCCCCUUGGUAUUCCGAGGGGCAUGCCUAUUCGAGCGUCAUUAUCACCCCUCAAGCCUAGCUUGGUGUUGAGACCUGCUGUCAAGGCAGUCUCUAAAAUCAGUGGCGGUGCUGUCAGGCUCUAAGCGUAGUAAAUUCAUCGCUAUAGACACCUGGUGGCCACUCGCCAGAACCCCCCCAUUUUUUAAUGAUUGACCUCGGAUUAGGUAGGGAUACCCGCUGAACUUAAGCAUAUCAAUAAGCGGAGGA
Molecule: unclassified non-coding RNA, 328 nt
Filed under: soil metagenome
Description: partial contains 5.8S ribosomal RNA, internal transcribed spacer 2, and large subunit ribosomal RNA
Rfam family: 5.8S ribosomal RNA (bases 1-120)
Source: RNAcentral